RNAcentral lists this ribosomal RNA (253 nucleotides) under uncultured bacterium. RNAcentral's name for it is "partial 16S ribosomal RNA". It matches the Rfam family "Bacterial small subunit ribosomal RNA", at positions 524 to 776 of the family's 1533-position model. The record is from RNAcentral.
UACAGAGGGGGCGAGCGUUAUUCGGAAUUAUUGGGCGUAAAGGGCGCGUAGGCGGCCUUGUAAGUCCUGUGUGAAAUCCCCCGGCUCAACUGGGGAACUGCACAGGAGACUGCUUGGCUUGAGUUCGGUAGGGGAGCGGGGAAUUCCUGGUGUAGCGGUGAAAUGCGCAGAUAUCAGGAGGAACACCAGUGGCGAAGGCGCCGCUCUGGGCCGAGACUGACGCUGAGGAGCGAAAGCGUGGGUAGCAAACAGG